GCUAUCUACAGGCUUAACACAUGCAAGUCGAGGGGCAGCAUGGUCUUAGCUUGCUAAGGCCGAUGGCGACCGGCGCACGGGUGAGUAACACGUAUCCAACCUGCCGUCUACUCUUGGACAGCCUUCUGAAAGGAAGAUUAAUACAAGAUGGCAUCAUGAGUCCGCAUGUUCACAUGAUUAAAGGUAUUCCGGUAGACGAUGGGGAUGCGUUCCAUUAGAUAGUAGGCGGGGUAACGGCCCACCUAGUCUUCGAUGGAUAGGGGUUCUGAGAGGAAGGUCCCCCACAUUGGAACUGAGACACGGUCCAAACUCCUACGGGAGGCAGCAGUGAGGAAUAUUGGUCAAUGGGCGAGAGCCUGAACCAGCCAAGUAGCGUGAAGGAUGACUGCCCUAUGGGUUGUAAACUUCUUUUAUAAAGGAAUAAAGUCGGGUAUGCAUACCCGUUUGCAUGUACUUUAUGAAUAAGGAUCGGCUAACUCCGUGCCAGCAGCCGCGGUAAUACGGAGGAUCCGAGCGUUAUCCGGAUUUAUUGGGUUUAAAGGGAGCGUAGAUGGAUGUUUAAGUCAGUUGUGAAAGUUUGCGGCUCAACCGUAAAAUUGCAGUUGAUACUGGAUAUCUUGAGUGCAGUUGAGGCAGGCGGAAUUCGUGGUGUAGCGGUGAAAUGCUUAGAUAUCACGAAGAACUCCGAUUGCGAAGGCAGCCUGCUAAGCUGCAACUGACAUUGAGGCUCGAAAGUGUGGGUAUCAAACAGGAUUAGAUACCCUGGUAGUCCACACGGUAAACGAUGAAUACUCGCUGUUUGCGAUAUACGGCAAGCGGCCAAGCGAAAGCGUUAAGUAUUCCACCUGGGGAGUACGCCGGCAACGGUGAAACUCAAAGGAAUUGACGGGGGCCCGCACAAGCGGAGGAACAUGUGGUUUAAUUCGAUGAUACGCGAGGAACCUUACCCGGGCUUAAAUUGCAGAUGAAUUACGGUGAAAGCCGUAAGCCGCAAGGCAUCUGUGAAGGUGCUGCAUGGUUGUCGUCAGCUCGUGCCGUGAGGUGUCGGCUUAAGUGCCAUAACGAGCGCAACCCUUGUUGUCAGUUACUAACAGGUUCCGCUGAGGACUCUGACAAGACUGCCAUCGUAAGAUGUGAGGAAGGUGGGGAUGACGUCAAAUCAGCACGGCCCUUACGUCCGGGGCUACACACGUGUUACAAUGGGGGGUACAGAGGGCCGCUACCACGCGAGUGGAUGCCAAUCCCCAAAACCUCUCUCAGUUCGGACUGGAGUCUGCAACCCGACUCCACGAAGCUGGAUUCGCUAGUAAUCGCGCAUCAGCCACGGCGCGGUGAAUACGUUCCCGGGCCUUGUACACACCGCCCGUCAAGCCAUGGGAGCCGGGGGUACCUGAAGUGCGUAACCGCGAGGAGCGCCCUAGGGUAAAACUGGUGACUGGGGCU
Molecule: ribosomal RNA, 1443 nt
Filed under: uncultured organism
Description: SSU rRNA
Rfam family: Bacterial small subunit ribosomal RNA
Source: RNAcentral